GUACAAAAGGGGGUACAAAGGUACAUUAUUAGGAAAGGGCUCUCACAGCUCACCACUUUCUCUGCUGGAGUGGUUAUUGCCCACUCAGCCUGUUGCUGCCUACUGCUUGGCUGGCUGGCUAGCCACUGAUGUUCCCCACUUGGCUAGCCAGCAGCAUUCUGCUCUUAGCCGGCAGAAUUGCUACUGCACACUCCUCACUGCUGGGAGACUCUCAAAAUAGGGAAGGGAGAUUCUGAGUUGGGAAGGAGCUUCUCUCUGGAAGGGCUUCUUCUUCUGGAAGGGCUUCUACCAUCUACCUGAGUUGCCCUAUUUAUAGGCAACUCCACCUCCUUAGCAUGUGGUGGGAAAUGCUUCACCAAUUUGUGGCCAGAAUUCUCCUUUCAAAAGUUUCAGGGACUAAACCGUAAUUUCAUACCCCUGGAGAAUUUCUAUUGGCCAACCAGCACGUGGAACCUAUGCUGCCUGCUGAGAACCUGUUGCCUUGCUGGUUCCUAAAAGCUUUUGGCCUGUUUUGGCAGACUCCAGCCUAUUUUGGGCGCUUCUGGCCUAUUCCAGAAAUUUCGUGGGCCAACCAGACCCCUCUGACUCCUCCGUAUGCCAACCAGACCUUUCUGGAAGUUUCGUUGGCCAGCCAGAGUCUGCUGGCUCCUUCCCACGUGUCCCAGGCUCUUCUAAAAUCCUUGUUGGCCAACCACGCUUCCACCAAUUUGUUGCAGACAAAAAAAAUCUAUGGUGUUAGGUAAUGUGUAAGUUGGUGUUUGUCUCGAGAAAUCACCAAAAAGGUAAGAUAAUGAGAGAAUUACUAAUUGAGAUAUGUGACGUUAUUUCGGUUUAGCGUGGAGUGAUUUAGCCUAUAGUUUGUGUGUUGAGUGUGAGCUCACCUUAUUCAGUAUUAUCCCUAUCAAAUAAGGAUGUUCGACUAUCAUACUAUCAAAUAAUAGUUAACUCAUCGUAAUUUUUUUCUCUCCUCUUAAAUUCCAAAGAUUUCAACCCACUAUUUUGAAUCCAAAAAUUUCUCUAGUUUUGGCAUCAAACUAGAAUUAAAAAUUGCUUCAUAAAAUAUUUAUAGUUUAAUGAAAUUAAGCAAAACAAAAUCUAAGAAUUGGAGGAUAUUGAAAAGGAUCUCUAGGAAUAUUUUCAUAAAUUUUGGAGAACUAGAAAGAAUUAUUUAGACUAACUAGAGUUUAGAGACCUGAGUUGAAAAUGAAGAUUUUAAUUUGCACUUAAGUUUCUAGUAGGCCCUAGAUGGGCAUUUUGAUAAUUGUUGUGGGUUCAAGACUACCGUGUUGCAAAUUUCUUCCUUCACAUGGGUUUUGAUUUGGUUACAAAGGAAACUCCAUUGAAAUUUCAGCAAAAUUCUAGGAUGUUAUUAUUACUUUUGUAAUUUAUAUAUUUCAUUUGUAGUGGAUUCAGUUCCUCCUUCCCUUUCAAAUUGCACAAAUCUGAAGACUUUGAAUUUGUCCUCCAAUAUGCUUACAGGAAAGGUCCCAAGAUCUUUUGGUGAACUCAGUAGCUUACAAAGAUUGGAUCUCUCCCAUAACCAUGGCACUGGGUGGAUCCUUCUGAGUUGGCAAAUGCAUGCGGUUCACUUGCAAAACAAAUGAGUAGCUGAUUACUUGUACUCUUGCAGCUGAUGGAAUAAUCCGUUGGAGGCGUUUAUUCGCCAGUUGCUUAUCCUGCCAAAAAAAAAAAAAAAAAUCCGAAGAAAAUGGAAAAUUUCCAAACAUUAUUCCACAAAUUCUGGUUGAGAAAAGUGAAAACUGAACCCUGCCCUGUCUGAUUAUUAGCUUUCCAAAGAUGAUUUUGCCUUCAAGCUAAACAAUAACUAGAUUUAAUAAAAUAAGUUCUGCAUUUAAAGAAAUACCUUAAGGGACUAAUGGAAAGGCCAUGAUGAAGUAUGACUAUCAAUCAACUGAGAAGCCCAUAGAAGGGAUGGGUCAGCAUCCUCUUUCACCUUUGGUUGCAGUUGAAAAGAAUUUUGUGACUAUCAUGCUUGCAUAAGAUAAAGUUGAGAUUCCACAGCAGAUACUUUAGGUACAAAUAAAUUAGAUACUAUAAUAACUUAAGAAUUUUAUGACACUUUUAAGUAAAUUAGAUAUUAGUUGUAAACUUGCCUUUACUGAAUCUCAAGAGCACUGGCCAGAACACGCAAAGCUCAGAUGCCUUGGCCCUCCCCCAUGGAUGCUUUCUCUUCUCACACUCCUCACUCAUAUUCUUCUCACCUUCUCCAUAUCAGCAGCGCAUAAAUGGAACACCUUGUGACAUGAAUGCAAAUGUCAGAGGGUGCAGAUAGCUCUGGACAAAGUUCACGUGGACAUGUUCGGCACUUGAGUGCCGAACAUGUCCUCCAUUUAAGGGGUGCAGACAAUUCUGCACCCUUUGUGACAUGAAUGCAAAUGUCAGAGGGUGCAGAAAUCUCUGCACCCGUGGGAAAUUUCACGUGGAAAUGUUCGGCACUUUGUGAGUGCCGAACAUGUCCUCCACACAAUCCUGCACCCUUUGUGACAUGAAUGCAAAUGUCAGAGGGUGCAGAGAUUUGAGUGCCCAACAUGAGCUCCACAUUUGCUCCCGCAACAACCCUCCCACCGCCGAACGGUCUGCAUUUAAAAUAAUUCGGCAGUAAAACUGCCGAACUAUACCCGCGGCCACCUCAAAUUGCUACCUUCUUAUUAUCCUAUCAAGUUUAUUUUCACUCUCGUCUCAAAUUGCUGCCUUCUUAUUAUCUCUAUUAUCAAUUUUAUUUUCACUCUCGUCUCAAAUUCACCUCAAAUUGCUCCGGAUAAGUAGAGAUGUCAAAUGCUAGCAAAAAUUGCCUCCACAAGAAAUGCCCAUCCAUGGAAGACGACUUAAAGAAGGCAGCAGAACAAGGCAUAUUCGAUCCAUUUAAUGAACAUUUAGAUCAUCUUGAUUGCAUAGUCACAGAAAAUGGAAACACGAUACUUCAUGUGCAUCUUCGCAAGUUGCUAGGAAAAAAAUCUGAGGAGUUUAUGAGACGAGUAGUUGGCAAUUGCCCCAAGUUGUUAACGCAGGAAAAUUGCGACGGUAAUGCUCCGUUGCACAUAGCAGCUAGGCAAGGGCGUACCGAUGUAGCGGAGGAGCUAAUUAGACUGGCUGAUGACUUAUAUGGAGGGAAUGUAGAAGCAGUGAGGGAGAUGUUAAGGAAGAAAAAUAAUAAGGAAGAAACGGCCUUGCAUGUCGCAGCACGAAAUGAUAAAAGUGUGGGUGUUGUUAAAGCAAUAUUGAGAAAGGAAGAUACUCAGUUUGAUUGUUAUGUAAAUGAUAAAAGUGUGGGUGUUGUUAAAGCAAUAUUGAGAAAGGAAGAUACUCAGUUUGAUUGUUAUGUAAAUGAUAGUUUGGAAACUCCUCUUGAAUUGGCUAUUGAAAACUCAUGUACACAUAUAGUAGCUGAAUUGUUAAAUCAUUUCGAUUCUCAAUCUCUGUACACAUAUACUCAGGUUCUCGACAUGUUUGAUGGUUCGGUGAUGCAUAAGGCAGUAAAACGCUGGAAUACAGGUAUGAUCAGUAGAUUGUAUUUGUCUAUUAUAUACAGAAGUCAUCAUUUUAAUAUAUAUAUAUAUAUUUGUCCAUUAAUGUCGGAAACGAUGGGUGAAUUCUAAAUUAUACAUAAAAUGUACAAAAACAUCCUAAACUAUAAAACAACGUCUUUAAAUUAUAUUUUUUUUAUACACAGUGGUCUAAAAAUUAAUUUAUUAAUAUAUUUUAGCAUAACACGACCCUUUAUAAUAUACUAACUAAAUUUAUCCUUCUGUUUAGCAAAUUAUUAAAACUAAUAUAUCAUGUAUUUAUACAUGUCGACCCACGUACCAUAAUGAGCCCGACUUAGGUAGCAUUGGAUUAUCUUAUCUGCAAUGCUUAAAGUUCAUGCUUAGUUGCAAGUUGACUACAGCAUUUGAUGUUGGUGACUUUGUUUCAGAGAUAGUACGUUUGCUGUUGGAGAAAGAGAGUGGUUUGGCCAAAAUAGAAAAUGAUAUGGGAUGGACUCCACUUCAUAUUGCUGCAUUUGAAGGUUGUAGCUCAAUGGUGUCAACUCUAUUAAACAAGGACAAAUCUAUUGCCUGCAUUACAACUGGUUGGACAGCUCUUCACAUUGCAGCCUUACGUGGCUUCAAGCACGUAGUGAAUGAGAUUAUUACUAAAUGUCCAGAGUGUUGUGAAAUCACUGACGAUAGAGGCUGGAACGUUCUUCACUUUGCAGUAAUGAGCGAAAAUGAUGAAUUACUGAAAAUGAUCCUUGAAAAUUCAUCGUUGGCUUACCUUAUAAUCGGAGAAGAUAAUGCAGGGCAUACGCCUGUUCAUCUCUUCAAGUCUCUUAAUAUCCCUUUGCCUUCUUU
RNAcentral lists this long non-coding RNA (4352 nucleotides) under Manihot esculenta (cassava). RNAcentral's name for it is "long non-coding RNA (MESC_LNC008571)". Lineage: Eukaryota; Viridiplantae; Streptophyta; Magnoliopsida; Malpighiales; Euphorbiaceae. The record is from RNAcentral.